GCUGAUGACCACCGCGCUUUUUAUUGACCAUUUUGCACGCAAACUGGAAAACCUGGCGUCGUCAUCUAUUCUUAAAGAGCAAGGCAACUAAGCCUGCAUUAAUGCCAACUUUUAGCGCACG
RNAcentral lists this unclassified non-coding RNA (121 nucleotides) under Escherichia coli IAI39. Its description in RNAcentral is "RyeB". Lineage: Bacteria; Pseudomonadati; Pseudomonadota; Gammaproteobacteria; Enterobacterales; Enterobacteriaceae. The record is from RNAcentral.